GAUGAACGCUCGCUACAGGCUUAACACAUGCAAGUCGAGGGGAAACGCCAUCGAAAGCUUGCUUUUGAUGGGCGUCGACCGGCGCACGGGUGAGUAACGCGUAUCCAACCUGCCCAUCACUUGGGAAUAACCUUGCGAAAGUAAGACUAAUACCCAAUGACAUCCCACGAAGACAUCUGAAUGGGAUUAAAGAUUUAUCGGUGAUGGAUGGGGAUGCGUCUGAUUAGCUUGUUGGCGGGGUAACGGCCCACCAAGGCAACGAUCAGCAGGGGUUCUGAGAGGAAGGUCCCCCACAUUGGAACUGAGACACGGUCCAAACUCCUACGGGAGGCAGCAGUGAGGAAUAUUGGUCAAUGGGCGAGAGCCUGAACCAGCCAAGUAGCGUGCAGGAUGACGGCCCUAUGGGUUGUAAACUGCUUUUAUAAGGGAAUAAAGUGGGUCUCGUGAGACUUUUUGCCUGUACCUUAUGAAUAAGGACCGGCUAAUUCCGUG
RNAcentral lists this ribosomal RNA (492 nucleotides) under uncultured bacterium. RNAcentral's name for it is "partial 16S ribosomal RNA". It matches the Rfam family "Bacterial small subunit ribosomal RNA", at positions 28 to 507 of the family's 1533-position model. The record is from RNAcentral.